RNAcentral lists this ribosomal RNA (1014 nucleotides) under Cytospora diopuiensis. RNAcentral describes it as "SSU rRNA". It matches the Rfam family "Eukaryotic small subunit ribosomal RNA", at positions 79 to 1103 of the family's 1831-position model. Lineage: Eukaryota; Fungi; Ascomycota; Sordariomycetes; Diaporthales; Cytosporaceae. The record is from RNAcentral.
CGGCGAAACUGCGAAUGGCUCAUUAAAUCAGUUAUCGUAUAUUUGAUAGUACCUACUACAUGGAUAACCGUGGUAAUUCUAGAGCUAAUACAUGCUUAAAAUCCCGACUUCGGAAGGGAUGUAUUUAUUAGAUUAAAAACCAAUGCCCUUCGGGGCUCACUGGUGAUUCAUAAUAACUUCUCGAAUCGCAUGGCCUUGUGCCGGCGAUGGUUCAUUCAAAUUUCUGCCCUAUCAACUUUCGACGGCUGGGUCUUGGCCAGCCGUGGUUACAACGGGUAACGGAGGGUUAGGGCUUGACCCCGGAGAAGGAGCCUGAGAAACGGCUACUACAUCCAAGGAAGGCAGCAGGCGCGCAAAUUACCCAAUCCCGACACGGGGAGGUAGUGACAAUAAAUACUGAUACAGGGCUCUUUUGGGUCUUGUAAUUGGAAUGAGUACAAUUUAAAUCCCUUAACGAGGAACAAUUGGAGGGCAAGUCUGGUGCCAGCAGCCGCGGUAAUUCCAGCUCCAAUAGCGUAUAUUAAAGUUGUUGCAGUUAAAAAGCUCGUAGUUGAACCUUGGGCCUGGCUGGCCGGUCUGCCUCACCGCAUGCACUGGUCCGGCCGGGCCUUUCCCUCUGGGGAUCCGCAUGCCCUUCACUGGGUGUGUCGGGGAACCAGGACUUUUACUGUGAAAAAAUUAGAGUGUUCAAAGCAGGCCUAUGCUCGAAUACAUUAGCAUGGAAUAAUAGAAUAGGACGUUGCGGUUCUAUUUUGUUGGUUUCUAGGACCGCCGUAAUGAUUAAUAGGGACAGUCGGGGGCGUCAGUAUUCAAUCGUCAGAGGUGAAAUUCUUGGAUCGAUUGAAGACUAACUACUGCGAAAGCAUUCGCCAAGGAUGUUUUCAUUAAUCAGGAACGAAAGUUAGGGGAUCGAAAACGAUCAGAUACCGUUGUAGUCUUAACCAUAAACUAUGCCGACUAGGGAUCGGGCGAUGUUAUUUCUUGACUCGCUCGGCACCUUACACGAAAGUAAAG